CGGGAGGCAGCAGUAGGGAAUUUUGCGCAAUGGGGGAAACCCUGACGCAGCAACGCCAUGUGUGGGAUGAAGCAUUUCGGUGUGUAAACCACUGUCAGCGGGGAAUAAACGGCAGCUUCGGGCUGCUUUGAAUGUACCCGCAAAGA
This 146-nucleotide ribosomal RNA is filed under the name uncultured Fibrobacterota bacterium. RNAcentral's name for it is "uncultured Fibrobacteres bacterium partial 16S ribosomal RNA". It matches the Rfam family "Bacterial small subunit ribosomal RNA", at positions 342 to 488 of the family's 1533-position model. The record is from RNAcentral. Lineage: Bacteria; Pseudomonadati; Fibrobacterota.